ACGGCGAGUGAACAGGCAAGAGCUCAGAUUUGAAAGCCUUUUUGGCAUUGUAUUCUGAAGUAUUUAUCCUGAGUAAUGAUGUCUAAGUCUUCUGGAAAGGAGCGCCAUGGAGGGUGAUAGCCCCGUGUGACAUCCCACUCAUUGUAGGAUUUAUACGUGGAGUCGAGUUGUUUGGGAAUGCAGCUCAAACGGGUGGUAUGCUCCAUCUAAAGCUAAAUAUCUGUGAGAGACCGAUAGCGAACAAGUACUGUGAAGGAAAGAUGAAAAGAACUUUGAAAAGAGAGUGAAAAAGUACGUGAAAUUGUUGAAAUGGAAGGGUAGGCCGCUAACCAUGUAGAACCGUGUUUGGGGGGAAGAUAAAAGCUGAAGAAUGUGGCUCCUCGGAGUGUUAUAGCUUCAGUCAAUAUUCCCAUCCGAGCGCGAGGAUC
RNAcentral lists this ribosomal RNA (428 nucleotides) under Starmerella cf. meliponinorum MS-2010. RNAcentral's name for it is "eukaryotic LSU rRNA". It matches the Rfam family "Eukaryotic large subunit ribosomal RNA", at positions 86 to 541 of the family's 3401-position model. The record is from RNAcentral. Lineage: Eukaryota; Fungi; Ascomycota; Dipodascomycetes; Dipodascales; Trichomonascaceae.